This 429-nucleotide ribosomal RNA is filed under the name Bacteroidota bacterium. RNAcentral's name for it is "Bacteroidetes bacterium partial 16S ribosomal RNA". It matches the Rfam family "Bacterial small subunit ribosomal RNA", at positions 355 to 776 of the family's 1533-position model. Lineage: Bacteria; Pseudomonadati; Bacteroidota. The record is from RNAcentral.
UAGGGAAUCUUCCGCAAUGGACGCAAGUCUGACGGAGCAACGCCGCGUGAGUGAAGAAGGAUUUCGGUUCGUAAAACUCUGUUGUUAGAGAAGAACAGCGCAUAGAGUAACUGUUAUGCGUGUGACGGUAUCUAACCAGAAAGCCACGGCUAACUACGUGCCAGCAGCCGCGGUAAUACGUAGGUGGCAAGCGUUGUCCGGAUUUAUUGGGCGUAAAGCGAGCGCAGGCGGUCAAUUAAGUCUGAUGUGAAAGCCCCCGGCUCAACCGGGGAGGGUCAUUGGAAACUGGUGGACUUGAGUGCAGAAGAGGGGAGGGGAAUUCCAUGGGUAGCGGUGAAAUGAGUAGAUAUAGGGAGGAACACCAGUGGCGAAGGCGACUCUCUGGUCUGUAACUGACGCUGAGGCUCGAAAGCGUGGGUAGCAAACAGG